This 465-nucleotide ribosomal RNA is filed under the name uncultured bacterium. RNAcentral describes it as "partial 16S ribosomal RNA". It matches the Rfam family "Bacterial small subunit ribosomal RNA", at positions 28 to 507 of the family's 1533-position model. The record is from RNAcentral.
GACGAACGCUGGCGGCGUGCUUAACACAUGCAAGUCGAACGGAAAGGCCCUGCUUGCAGGGUACUCGAGUGGCGAACGGGUGAGUAACACGUGGGUGAUCUGCCCUGCACUUCGGGAUAAGCCUGGGAAACUGGGUCUAAUACCGGAUAGGAGCCAUUUUUAGUGUGAUGGUUGGAAAGUUUUUUCGGUGUAGGAUGAGCUCGCGGCCUAUCAGCUUGUUGGUGGGGUAAUGGCCUACCAAGGCGGCGACGGGUAGCCGGCCUGAGAGGGUGGACGGCCACAUUGGGACUGAGAGACGGCCCAGACUCCGACGGGAGGCAGAAGGGGGGAAUAUUGAACGAUGGGCGCCAGCCUGAUGCAGCGGCGCCGCGUGGGGGAUGACGGCCUUCGGGUUGUAAACUCCUUUCGCUAGGGACGAAGCUUUUUGUGACGGUACCUAGAUAAGAAGCACCGGCUAACUACGUG